Non-coding RNA from Drosophila melanogaster (fruit fly), 795 nucleotides. The record is from Ensembl. Lineage: Eukaryota; Metazoa; Arthropoda; Insecta; Diptera; Drosophilidae.
CUUUGUGUCAACUGAAGAUAAGCCCUCGCACAAUGGAACCAGAACCAGAACGAGAACGACGACCACUCGCUAGAGAUCCUUUUACCCUCGGACAAUGCUAAGUAGGAGUAAAUGCAUCCAUCAGACACUCGGGUGGCGAAAAAGCGAAGGGGACUGCGAAAAAAAAAAUUGAUGAGUUAAUUAACGCGCAUCGCCAACAUUCCGUUCGACUAAUAACCAACUUGUAGACGACAGCCAGGCCAUGGAGGAGAUGGCCUCAGAUGGGAACGGGAAUGGCAAUGGAGUGUGGGCAUAUGGCUAUACCCAUAGUAUGGCUAUGGGUAUGGGUAUGGGCAUGGGGCAACCAUAUUUAUGAGCAUGGCUUCGUUCAGUUGUCGAUCUGGCACUUCAAUGUCAGUUGUUCAUCAUCAUCGCAUCGCAUCGCGCGGAUCCAAUGAUCAUCGCAUCGCCACUGAAGGAGGGACAGCAGAACAGAAUCUCCGGGAGUAUCAUGACUGCAAUGCGUUCUUUAAUUGAGUUUUGCGUUGCAUUUGCGCAACUGCAACUUCGGACUCUUUAUGGCCAAGCAAGAAGCAAGAAGCAAGUAGCAAAAGCCACCACCAGUGGCAUCCACAUCCACAUCAACAUCCACGGCAGCAGCAACGUGGCAUAUUAUCACACAACCAUUAAAUAUGAUGAAGACUGCCAAGGCGACUGAGGAAUCCUAGAGAUGGAAGUAUCAUGUGAUCGUGAUCGUUUAUGAACAAUCAAAAUAUAUGGCGCCCAACGUAAAAACAAUUAUAUAGGAAAAUUCCU